UCUGUGUCUGGGGAGAAUUGAAUGAGAUAACAAAUUCAUAGCAUCUGAGACAUGAAUAUGACAACUAUUUCAUUUACAGAUAAGGUAAUGUGGAAUUAGACAAUAAUUUUCUCAAAGCAGGCAACCCAGAGUAAUAAGCCUCAGUGGGGUUUGAGCCCAGGCCUCUUUAGGUCUAAUGCCUAAACUCUUUCUCUUACAUCUUUUUGCCUUUUUUAUAUUAUAGGAGUCAUGAGGAAUCAGGCACAAGGAUGCCUACAUUUGACCAGCUCAUUGUUCACAGGUCCAUGUCAUCUGCCUCUGCCACCCUCUGCCUUUUUCUCGGCAGCUGGUGCUUCCAGCACAUUGAUUUCAGACUUGGGCACACGCAUGGGCUGAAUGAUGCCCCCC
Molecule: long non-coding RNA, 387 nt
Organism: Myotis daubentonii (Daubenton's bat)
Lineage: Eukaryota; Metazoa; Chordata; Mammalia; Chiroptera; Vespertilionidae
Source: RefSeq, a predicted model, not a curated record